This 874-nucleotide ribosomal RNA is filed under the name uncultured archaeon. RNAcentral's name for it is "bacterial SSU rRNA". It matches the Rfam family "Archaeal small subunit ribosomal RNA", at positions 43 to 922 of the family's 1478-position model. The record is from RNAcentral.
ACUAAGCCAUGCGAGUCGAAUGUAGCAAUACAUGGCGAACUGCUCAGUAACACGUGGACAACCUGCCCUUAGGACGGGGAUAAACCCGGGAAACUGGGUAUAAUACCCGAUAGGUCUCGAUUGCUGGAAUGCAUCGAGAUUUAAAGCUCCGGCGCCUAAGGAUGGGUCUGCGGCCUAUCAGGUAGUAGCGGGUGUAGCGUACCUACUAGCCUACGACGGGUACGGGUUGUGAGAGCAAGAGCCCGGAGAUGGAUUCUGAGACACGAAUCCAGGCCCUACGGGGUGCAGCAGGCGCGAAAACUUUACAAUGCUGGCAACAGCGAUAAGGGAACCUCGAGUGCCAGGUUACAAAUCUGGCUGUCGAGAUGCCUAAAAAGCAUUUCAUAGCAAGGGCCGGGCAAGACCGGUGCCAGCCGCCGCGGUAACACCGGCGGCUCGAGUGGUAACCGUUAUUAUUGGGUCUAAAGGGUCUGUAGCCGGCCGGAUAAGUCUCUUGAGAAAUCUGGCGGCUUAACUGUCAGGCUUUCAGGAGAUACUGUCUGGCUCGAGGCCGGGAGAGGUGAGAGGUACUUCAGGGGUAGGGGUGAAAUCUUGUAAUCCUUGAAGGACCACCAGUGGCGAAGGCGUCUCACCAGAACGGACCUGACGGCAAGGGACGAAAGCUAGGGGCACGAACCGGAUUAGAUACCCGGGUAGUCCUAGCCGUAAACGAUACUCGCUAGGUGUCGGCCACGGUGCGACCGUUGUCGGUGCCGUAGGGAAGCCGUGAAGCGAGCCACCUGGGAAGUACGGCCGCAAGGCUGAAACUUAAAGGAAUUGGCGGGGGAGCACCACAACGGGUGGAGCUUGCGGUUUAAUUGGAGUCAACGCCGGG